GAUCGCUAAUACCGCAUGACAUAGCGGAACCGCAUGGUUUUGCUAUCAAAGAUUUUAUCGCUGAUAGAUGGGCUCGCGUCCGAUUAGAUAGUUGGUGGGGUAACGGCCUACCAAGUUGACGAUCGGUAGCCGGACUGAGAGGUCGAACGGCCACAUUGGGACUGAGACACGGCCCAGACUCCUACGGGAGGCAGCAGUGGGGGAUAUUGCACAAUGGGGGAAACCCUGAUGCAGCGACGCCGCGUGAGGGAAGACGGUCCUCUGGAUUGUAAACCUCUGUCUUCGGGGACGAAACGAGACGGUACCCGAGGAGGAAGCCACGGCUAACUACGUGCCAGCAGCCGCGGUAAUACGUAGGUGGCAAGCGUUGUCCGGAAUUACUGGGUGUAAAGGGAGCGUAGGCGGGCAGGCAAGUCAGGCGUGAAAUAUAUCGGCUCAACCGGUAACGGCGCUUGAAACUGCAGGUCUUGAGUGAAGUAGAGGUUGGCGGAAUUCCUAGUGUAGCGGUGAAAUGCGUAGAUAUUAGGAGGAACACCAGUGGCGAAGGCGGCCAACUGGGCUUUUACUGACGCUGAGGCUCGAAAGUGUGGGGAGCAAACAGGAUUAGAUACCCUGGUAGUCCACACCGUAAACGAUGAUUACUAGGUGUGGGGGGACUGACCCCUUCCGUGCCGGAGUUAACACAAUAAGUAAUCCACCUGGGGAGUAC
Molecule: ribosomal RNA, 709 nt
Filed under: uncultured bacterium
Lineage: Bacteria
Description: bacterial SSU rRNA
Rfam family: Bacterial small subunit ribosomal RNA
Source: RNAcentral